UACGUAGGGGGCAAGCGUUGUCCGGAAUCAUUGGGCGUAAAGCGCGCGUAGGCGGCUAGAUCAGUCUGCUGUGAAAGUCAAAGGCUCAACCUUUGAAUGCCGAUGGAUACUGUCGAGCUAGAGUCCGGAAGAGGCGAGUGGAAUUCCUGGUGUAGCGGUGGAAUGCGCAGAUAUCAGGAGGAACACCAAUAGCGAAGGCAGCUCGCUGGGACGGUACUGACGCUAAGGCGCGAAAGCGUGGGGAGCGAACAGG
This 253-nucleotide ribosomal RNA is filed under the name uncultured bacterium. RNAcentral describes it as "partial 16S ribosomal RNA". It matches the Rfam family "Bacterial small subunit ribosomal RNA", at positions 524 to 776 of the family's 1533-position model. The record is from RNAcentral.